CUAGAAUCCAUCUUAUGACCCAGAAGACAGAACUAAGGCUGUCUCCCAGCCCAGGAGCAUCACUCCCCUUAGACCCAGAAGAGGAGAAAUCAACAAUUUUUCAAAUUAAAAGCCUAGCAGCACUGGAAAAAAUCAUUUCAAGUCUUCGAAGAACUUUAGGAAACGUUCUCAAGCAAAAAAAGAAGCAUUUACUCAAAGCAACCAAAUACCACAUGGAGAAACAGAGCCUAAACUAAGAAAUCAGAGCUGCCUGAGGAACCAUCCACUCACUUCCAC
This is a long non-coding RNA of Choloepus didactylus (southern two-toed sloth), 276 nucleotides long. RefSeq lists it as uncharacterized. Lineage: Eukaryota; Metazoa; Chordata; Mammalia; Pilosa; Megalonychidae. The transcript has 3 exons. The record is from RefSeq and is a predicted model, not a curated record.